RNAcentral lists this ribosomal RNA (492 nucleotides) under uncultured bacterium. RNAcentral's name for it is "bacterial SSU rRNA". It matches the Rfam family "Bacterial small subunit ribosomal RNA", at positions 28 to 489 of the family's 1533-position model. The record is from RNAcentral.
GACGAACGCUGGCGGCGUGCUUAACACAUGCAAGUCGAACGAGAGGAGAAGGAAGCUUGCUUCUUUCAAAUCUAGUGGCAAACGGGUGAGUAACACGUAAACAACCUGCCUUCAGGAUGGGGACAACAGACGGAAACGACUGCUAAUACCGAAUACGUUCCUUAGGUCGCAUGACUUUAGGAAGAAAGGGUGGCCUCUACUUGUAAGCUAUCGCCUGAAGAGGGGUUUUGCGUCUGAUUAGGUAGUUGGUGAGGUAACGGCCCACCAAGCCGACGAUCAGUAGCCGGUCUGAGAGGAUGAACGGCCACACUGGAACUGAGACACGGUCCAGACUCCUACGGGAGGCAGCAGUGGGGAAUCUUCCGCAAUGGGCGAAAGCCUGACGGAGCAACGCCGCGUGAGUGAUGACGGCCUCGGUGUAAAGCUCUGUGAUCGGGGACGAACGGGUCAGCAGACGAAUACUCUGCCGAAGUGACGGUACCCGAAGUAGAC